CGGCUGUGGUGCACGGUUCUGCCUCCGCGCCUUUCCAUCGCCAGCGCGUUCUUCGUGCUCUGUCAAUCUCGCAGCAGCGCCACUCUCUUCCCCACUUCCCCACCGUGGUCCCCCCUUCCCCACCCACCGGAGACCGCGCCAUUCCCCCCUUCCCCACCGCGACCACCAGACCGGCAUGGCGCAUACCUGAGAUUGCGCUCUCCCCACCGGAUCCGGCUUGGCGCACACCGGAGACCACGCCCUUCACCCUUCCCCACCGUGGCCACCGGAUCCCGCACACGCGCGCUCCGGCAUGGCGCAUCCACAGCACGAACGCCCGGAAUGGAGCAGCGUGCGUCCAUGUACCCACCGGAGACCAGGCCAUUCACCACCGCAGUGCCCCCACCCUCAUCAUCCUCGCGUCCCCCCGUCGCUACAGCCGCCAAGUUGGUCUGCAGGGAGGUCCCCCCCUCACCGCGCCACGCUCGCCGCGCCCGCCGCUCGGUCCUCGCCGCGACAUGCGCCUACCCUCACCUACACGAUGCUCACUCCUCCGCACAUCGCAAAGCCGAAGGUCCACGCCCCCUCCGUGCUGUGACCCCCUCCCUUGUGUGCCCAUGAUGCUGGAAGGGAAGUCCUACCUUGUGCCGCGCUCCCUGCUAAGCUCCUGCGAGAUAGAGACACAGUGGGCGUACUUCGCCCACGAGGUCCACGGCGGCAAGCGCCUGGCGCCGGAAGACUGCGAGGUCGAAGACCUGGACAAAGCUGACGUCGGCGGCAAGCGCAGCAAGCCGCCGUCUCCACAGCCGCACACGCCGGACAUCUCCGAGGGUCGCGGCUCCAGCCGCCAUGCCUCCGGUUGCGGAGAGCAGCAGGGCACUGGGAGCAACCCCAUGAAUUCAAUCGACCGUGACCUGACCCUCAAUAGCCUCCUCCGGACUAUUGAAUAGGGCAAGGAAGAUGUGACGAAAAGGUAAGGGGUUUCGAUCGGAGAUGGCAGCGGCGGCGACCGCACAUAGAGCCAGCUUCCCGUUGCGUCUGCAGUAGAUCCUUGCUGGAAGCUGCGCCGUCGCACCUGUGGUCAAGGUCGAGUCUGAGCCGAUUUUGUGGGGUCCUAGAUCCAGACGUCGGUCGACAGGUCGCUGGCGUCAGUGGACCACGUCGCCUAUCGCGGUUGUGGAGCGGAGCUGUGAGCAGAUCCCAAGUCCAAUGACGAAGAGGGAGUCUCGGUAGGGUGCGAUAAGGCGCGAUGAGGUCAGACACGGAGCACGGACGUGUCCUCAGUCGCUGUUGUCAUGUGUCAGUGGAUGCAGUCGUCGCUAUCGCCCACAAGAAACCUCGCUUCGUGGAAAGAUUAGUAUUUAACAUUUGGAUGAGGAAGUCAAGGACACCGACCUCAAGCGCUCUACCAGGAAGUCCGAGGAGGCCGUCCUCGCCGACCUCGCUUGGCUCGGCCUCGAAUGGGAGGAAGGUGCUCAUAAAAGAACACCUGUGAUGCCUAGAAGGAACCCUCCACCACCUCCAAGAGAGCAAUCUAAUAGUUUUUUUACCGCAUGGAAGCUCAAAGGCAGGAGAUGCACCGUUAGGUGCAUUUUGGGUGACAUAACAUGCACGAGGUGCUCAAGCUGUAGUUAACAGGAACCCUUUGUUUGAUGGGGAGUCAAUUAAGGCAUCACUGUCAUCAAAGCAGAACCAAAGCUGGGUGGACACCAGCAUCAGUAUUCCUGGCAAUAGGCAUGAUCAUUCCGGUCAGAUGUCACUGACAAGUAAAGCACAAAAUAACUCUUUGUCCAAUAAUGUUUUUAGAGGUCUCUCUGACACGGAGAUACAAAAUUCUUGGAAAAGUAGAGCAGAACAACCUCAACCCGAGCCAAAAUGUGAGAAAGACCCAUUUAACAGCUUUGUUGCAGAUUUUGACACUCACAAUCUCAACAUUGCCGUUGGUAAGGCAUCCGAACUUGAACUUGAAGUCUCCAAUCUAAAGGAGCAGUUGAAGAAAAUCACAUUAGAAAAGGCUGAGAUGACAACCAAGCAUGAAAAGUUAUCUGCAAUCUGCCGAUCACAGCGUCAGGAGAUCCAAGAGCUGAAGCUCACUCUUGUUGAGCCAACGCCUCCCUCAAACAAAGUCAGCUCAAGGACACAAGAUUCUGGAUCUCAGGCGUCCACAUUCGAGGAUGGUGCACAGUUCUGCCAUCGCGCUCCCUCCGCGCUCCAUCCGUCCUCCGCUCUCGAUCCUCGAAUCCCGCGGCUCCAUCCUCGAAUCCAGCGCUCCCUCCGCACUCCAUCCGUCUCCCUCCAUGCUCCAUCCGUCCUCUGCGCUCAAUCCUCGAAUCCCUCCGUGCUCCAUCCAUCUUCCGCCGCCUCUGUGAUGAACACGGGAAGCGUACAAUGACCUGGUGCUGGCGAUCUUGGCAUCAGUGAUGGGCAGUCAAUCCAUCAUAAGCAGGACCUUUUCCAUCAUCAAUCAGAGCCAGUCUCGGAGCUGCUUCCCCAGGGUGAAAGUCGUGCACACGUCGCUGCAGCGGGACAACAGGUACUACGAGCGCGAAAACUUGCUGAUGGUCAUCAAGAACAACCUGUUGUGGCACCACCUUAGCAUGGGCCUGGGCUAUGAUGACUCCAACUCCAACGAUAGCGGCGUGUCACCUAGCUCGGACCGUGCGAACAACAUAGAGGUCGCCACAGUGUCGCCGGUGCCGGCGGUCGUCAAGAAGCAGGCGAGGUUCCUGGUGGCCUCACCUAGGAGCCCCGACGUGAAUGAGACCAUGAUGGAGGAGCUGCACGAGCUGUGCGAGGCGCGGGAGGCCGGCACCGCGUUCAUCAUGGAGCACUCGGCAUGUGGAGACCAAGCCCGGGUCGUCACUGCUCAAGAGGCUGACAUGUGAAUUUGAUGGACAACAUGUAUCCUCAAUGAUCGCUCGAGUGCUCAGUGAGCCAUAAUAUCGUGAAAAUUCUAUGUGCUUGUAUGUUUCGUUUUCUUUUUAUAAAUCAUAUUGUAAUGCUAUUUCUAUAGGUGGAGGGUGAUAAAUGUAUCAAUUUAUCUUUAUGGUUAAUAUUGUUGU
RNA transcript from Zea mays, 3041 nucleotides. It is a transcript of the gene named glutamyl-tRNA synthetase - potassium transporter pseudogene, with no coding region annotated. The record is from RefSeq and is marked validated. The transcript has 6 exons. Lineage: Eukaryota; Viridiplantae; Streptophyta; Magnoliopsida; Poales; Poaceae.